Molecule: long non-coding RNA, 1976 nt
Organism: Homo sapiens (human)
Lineage: Eukaryota; Metazoa; Chordata; Mammalia; Primates; Hominidae
Source: Ensembl
UGCUUUAUCACUGGGAGUUUCCUUAUUAUUUUAAAAAUAAGUUAGUGUUUUGGAGGAGGAAAUAACAUUUCCCCGAGAUUUAGGGGAACACUGCAGCUAACAAGGCCCUCUGAAACGGCACCAAACAGAAGAACAUGUUAAGACACUAUCCUUAUUAGGAUGGUGGGGCGCUUCCUCUGUCUCGUGGUUAAUUCCGGGCGCUUCUCUCCUUCAGAUUCCUGACUUCCUCUGAUGGCAUUUGAGGGGGAGAGGAUAAGCCAAGGGAAGAGGAAAAUCAAAAUGCUUUCAGCAGCACGGCUUCCGCAUGCUGGAGAGGUGGUGUAUGGGGUUGCGGCUUGGCCUGUUUUCUGAAACCUGCAAGGUAGCACCCUGAAGGUAGCUUGUAACCCUCCACUCUCACACCAAGGUAAUACCUCCUUCCUGUCUGGCCACCUGUCACAGCCAGUGGAAGUAGGGUUUGGAGGGAUGGUUGGGACAUCCUUACACAAUGUUAGGUGGAGACUUAGUGAUGGCUUCGGGGGAAGGCAGAGGGAGUCUCUCUUGCGUCAGGGGGGUGGAAGCACCGCUGCCAUGAUCAAGCCCUUUGGAUGAAAGGAGGGCUGUGAGAUUUGCUGCCCAGAUGUGGGUUUGCAAAUGACCUUGUUGGUCUGUUACCCUGGCCUAGCUCAUAGAAGCUUUCUUCUCCUGUGGCUUGGGAGAGAGCCACCGUAAAAGACAAGCUGUGGCUAGUAAGCAUCUUCUAUGUGCUCUGGACUGUCUCAUGCAAGAGCUAGGGCAUAGGAUCCUCAUGAUGGCCCUUCAAGAGGGGUUAAUCUUGUCGUUGUUGCACUUCUAUGAGGAAACAGACCAUGUGAGGCUAAGUAACUUGCUCAAGGUCACACAGGGGUGAUUGAUGGGGUCACCCAGACUGUCUGACUCUUGUGUGGGUAUGGCUGCCCUCCUUGUCAGCCGGCGGGGUAUAGAGGCUGGCCCUCCAUUCUUGAUUUGCUCAGUAAUGGGGGCAGGACAACUCCACCUCCUUCUUCCCAAAGGAAAGUUGAGCUCAUUUUGGAAAGAAAGCAAACAGCCGUUCUCCUCUGGGGCUCUAUCCGGGGACAGGGCAGAAAGGAAAUCCAGUACACUGCGGAAGGAGUCAUUUUUUGGCCUGGUUCUCACCACCCAUCUCUAGUUCAAACCCUGCUUUUAGCAUAUCUGUGUUGAUGGGGCAGGGCCUGGGAAUCACGAUUUGCCUUUAAGAAGUGGAUGCACUUGGAGAGGCUGGCGCUUCCACCAACCAGGAAGAGCUGGGGGCACCCUGCUUGCUCUCCGAAACUUCACAGAAAGCCCCAAGAGCUGGGGAUGUGGGUUCUGUUCUGGAUCUCCAAGAGACGACGUCAUGCUAGAAUGUUCCCUUCAUUUUUGAAAACUGCACUCCUGCCUGGGGCCAUCUCGUGUCUUCAAUGGCUAAAGUAGAUGCUGAUUUGGGCAACCAGCUUUCUUUUCUGUUUUGAAAAUUAAUGCACCUGUGUAGUCACCCAGGCUUGAUAGUUGCAACAAUAACUCAUGGACAAGUUGUGUGACUGGUGGUAGUGACUCCAUUUGCUCACACCUCCUUGGAUUCAGUCCCUGGUGUAGUUCCCUCCCACACUGACUGUGGGUUUGGCCAGGUGACUUGCUUUGGCCAAUGGGACACCAUCAACCAUGAUUAGCAGAGGUUUGAAAAGUGCUUGUGCAUUGAGAUUUGCCCUCUCACGCUGUUCUUGGGACCCUUACAACUGCCAACAUGUGAAUGUGCCUGGGUUAGGCAGGUGGAGGUAUGUGGCCCAGUCACCACUGCCACCCAGCUGACAACCAGCACCAACCACCAGACACACUGCAUGAGGCCAUCCUAGACCAUUCGGUUCCCAGGUGACCUGCCAGCUGGUCACAGGUGAGUCCAGCAGAAGAACUGCCCAACCCAGCCCAGCCCAAAUUGCAGAUCUGCAGAAUCAUGGGCU